CCGGACCGCGACGAGGUGAGUAACACGUAUGAAACCUGCCCGUAGCAGGGGGAUAAGCGGAAGAAAUUCCGUCUAAUACCGCGUAACAACCCAUGGAGGCAUCUCUGUGGGUUUAAAGGAAGCGAUUCCGGCUACGGAUGGUCAUGCGUCGCAUUAGCUUGUUGGCGGGGUAACGGCCCACCAAGGCGACGAUGCGUAGGGGUUCUGAGAGGAAGGUCCCCCACACUGGUACUGAGACACGGACCAGACUCCUACGGAAGGCAGCAG
RNAcentral lists this ribosomal RNA (267 nucleotides) under uncultured bacterium. Its description in RNAcentral is "partial 16S ribosomal RNA". It matches the Rfam family "Bacterial small subunit ribosomal RNA", at positions 91 to 354 of the family's 1533-position model. The record is from RNAcentral.